Molecule: transfer RNA, 74 nt
Filed under: Lachnospiraceae bacterium
Lineage: Bacteria; Bacillati; Bacillota; Clostridia; Lachnospirales; Lachnospiraceae
Also listed under: 1 other name
Description: tRNA-Pro
Rfam family: tRNA
About the family: Transfer RNA (tRNA) molecules are approximately 80 nucleotides in length. Their secondary structure includes four short double-helical elements and three loops (D, anti-codon, and T loops).
Source: RNAcentral
CGGGGAAUGGCUCAGUUUGGUAGAGCGCUUGGUUCGGGACCAAGAGGCCGUCGGUUCAAAUCCGGUUUCCCCGA